GGUCGAGGCAUGAAACACAAUACUUCAAGGCAAACGCAGCGUUAAAUUGGGAAUGAAUGUACUUCUGCUGUACAGAAAUCCAAUAAUCGGUUCGAUCGAGGCGUUCCUUAAAACGGAGGCGUGACAACGACAUAUUUUUGGAGUUAUGGCAACGCGAGACUACCAAAGCACAGACAUCACGUUAGUUGCAGCACGUCUAAAGUAACACAGUGUUGUUAAGGUGCGAGGGACAUCCUGUGCCACCAGUCAAUUGACGGUGGAUCACCUUCUGACCCCGUGCUCGCCAGGUGACCCGGCUGCCAUAGAAUUGACCUGGAUGGAUGUGCCUAGCGACAAGCUGCUGGAACCCAUCAUCUGCAUGUCUGACAUGCUGUGCUCACUAUCCACCACGCAACCCACAGUCAACAUAGAGGUCUUGUUCAAGGUCAGGAAGUUCACAGAGGAUUUCGAACAGGAGGGUUGAGAGGUCCUGGUUGGCAGGGGCUUUACUACUCAGUCUCUCCUAUCAAGACCCAACUCCAGUCAAAUAGUAGCUACAGUAUUACAACAGUAUUACAACACUACGAACCUGCAUUGACAAGAAUGAUGGAGCAUUUUAACUUACACCCAAUUGUUGUUUUUUUUGCAUAUCCCAACUCCCUCUGAGACACCCACAAGUGCCUUAUUUUCCCACUUUGUCGGCUCCGGUAUUUGAGCCAGCAACCUUUCGGUAACUGGCCCAAUGAUCUAAAGUUGAGGCUACGUGCCGCCCCUUAGUGGGUCUGCAGGGUGACUCCCCUAGUGGGUCUGGAACCCAGGUCAGCAGCACUACAUUGCUGUGUGUCUGUAUAGUUGAGGGUGUAUUGGUUUAGGUAUACUCAAUUCAGUUCUGUUUCCAGAGGGGAUCUCAAUGCUGUUACACGUAGCCACGAUCACCAAGCUACCCUGACUUAA
Molecule: long non-coding RNA, 933 nt
Organism: Oncorhynchus masou masou (cherry salmon)
Lineage: Eukaryota; Metazoa; Chordata; Actinopteri; Salmoniformes; Salmonidae
Exons: 3
Source: RefSeq, a predicted model, not a curated record